AGGUCUUGUAGUUUAAUAAGAAUUCUAGGCUGCAAUCCUAGUGGUGCUAUAUAGCUAAGGCUUA
This 64-nucleotide transfer RNA is filed under the name Deleatidium vernale. RNAcentral's name for it is "tRNA-Cys". The record is from RNAcentral. Lineage: Eukaryota; Metazoa; Arthropoda; Insecta; Ephemeroptera; Leptophlebiidae.